Molecule: unclassified non-coding RNA, 339 nt
Filed under: soil metagenome
Description: partial contains 5.8S ribosomal RNA, internal transcribed spacer 2, and large subunit ribosomal RNA
Rfam family: 5.8S ribosomal RNA (bases 1-119)
Source: RNAcentral
GAUGAAGAACGUAGCGAAAUGCGAUACGUAAUGUGAAUUGCAAAUUCAGUGAAUCAUCGAGUCUUUGAACGCACAUUGCGCCCGUUAGUAUUCUGACGGGCAUGCCUGUCCGAGCGUCAUUUCAACCCUCAAGCACGGCUUGGUGUUGGCGGAUUGCGUGCCCUAGCGGCGCUGCACCCGCCCAAAUACAGUGGCGGUCCCGCUGCGGCUCCCUUUGCGUAGUAACUCACCUCGCACUGGACCGGGCGGCGGCUCGCCGUAAAACCCCAACUCACGAAAUGUUGACCUCGGAUCAGGUAGGAAUACCCGCUGAACUUAAGCAUAUCAAUAAGCGGAGGA